CGCCCAUAGCUCAGUGGAUAGAGCAACGGUCUUCGGAACCGACGGUCGGGGGUUCGAAUCCCUCUGGGCGAA
RNAcentral lists this transfer RNA (72 nucleotides) under Anaerolineae bacterium. Its description in RNAcentral is "tRNA-Arg". It matches the Rfam family "tRNA". Rfam says of the family: Transfer RNA (tRNA) molecules are approximately 80 nucleotides in length. Their secondary structure includes four short double-helical elements and three loops (D, anti-codon, and T loops). Lineage: Bacteria; Bacillati; Chloroflexota; Anaerolineae. The record is from RNAcentral.